Molecule: ribosomal RNA, 377 nt
Filed under: uncultured bacterium
Lineage: Bacteria
Description: bacterial SSU rRNA
Rfam family: Bacterial small subunit ribosomal RNA
Source: RNAcentral
UAAUACGUAGGGGGCAAGCGUUGUCCGGAAUCAUUGGGCGUAAAGCGCGUGUAGGCGGCUCGAAAAGUCUGGUGUGAAAACUGGAGGCUCAACCUCCAGCUGUCGCUGGAUACUGUCGGGCUUGAGUCCGGAAGAGGAGAGUGGAAUUCCUGGUGUAGCGGUGGAAUGCGCAGAUAUCAGGAGGAACACCAAUGGCGAAGGCAGCUCUCUGGUACGUGACUGACGCUGAGACGCGAAAGCGUGGGGAGCGAACAGGAUUAGAUACCCUGGUAGUCCACGCCGUAAACGAUGGAUGCUAGGUGUGGGUGGUGUCGACUCCAUCCGUGCCGCAGCUAACGCAUUAAGCAUCCCGCCUGGGGAGUACGGCCGCAAGGCUA